CUGGCGGCAAUUGCAGGCUUGUCUCUGAAAAGGAGCUAGUUCCGUUUUGUGUGUGUGUGUUCUGUGCUGUGAGCACUGCUACAGGGAGCUGAGUGGAGAGCUUGUGCAAUCUGGGAAACCACGAUUUGAAUGCAGUGACCUAUGACAAUGUGCAUGUUGACUUCAUUCAGGAAGAGUGGGCUUUGCUGGAUCCUUCCCAGAAGAAUCUCCAUAAAGAUGUGAUAGUGAAGACUACAGGAUCCUUACUGCUAUAGGACUGUAGUCUCCAAACACAUAAAAGAACACAUACAGGAGAGAAAGAAACCCUAUGAAUGUAGUCGAUGUGGUAAAGCCUUUCAUGUCACAGUAUUUUUUCAACUAAUAAAAGAACACAUUGGAGAGAAACUCUAUGAAAGUA
Cricetulus griseus (Chinese hamster) is the source of this 397-nucleotide non-coding RNA. Lineage: Eukaryota; Metazoa; Chordata; Mammalia; Rodentia; Cricetidae. The record is from RefSeq and is a predicted model, not a curated record.